Molecule: microRNA precursor, 102 nt
Filed under: Marmota monax (woodchuck)
Lineage: Eukaryota; Metazoa; Chordata; Mammalia; Rodentia; Sciuridae
Source: RNAcentral
AAUGCAAUUGCUGGAUUAUAUGGUAAAUUUAUGUUUAGAGUGUUAGGAAACCAUAAAGCUAUUUUCCAGAGUGCCUGUACCAUUUUACAUUCCACCAGCAAU